AAUAGAUACCCCGGUAGUCCUAGCCCUAAACGAUGCUCAUUAGAUGUGGGAGGUAUCGACCCCUUCCGCGUCGGCGCUAACGCAUUAAAUGAGCCGCCUGGGGAGUACGGCCGCAAGGUUGAAACUCAAAGGAAUUGACGGGGGCCCGCACAAGCGGUGGAGCAUGUGGUUUAAUUCGACGCAACGCGAAGAACCUUACCUGGGCUUGAACUACUCGUGGUAAGCCGCUGGAAACAGUGGCUGACCCGCAAGGGAGCGAGCAGAGGUGCUGCAUGGUUGUCGUCAGCUCGUGUCGUGAGAUGUUGGGUUAAGUCCCGCAACGAGCGCAACCCUCAUCCUAUGUUGCUAAUCCCGCAAGGGAUGCACUCUUAGGAAACUGCCUUCGAUAAGAAGGAGGAAGGUGGGGACGACGUCAAAUCCUCAUGGCCCUUAUGUCCAGGGCUACACACGUGCUACGAAUGGCCGGUACAACGGGAAGCGAAUACCGCAAGGUGGAAGCAAAACCCUUAAAGCCGGCCCCAGUUCAGAUCGUGGGCUGCAACUCCG
Molecule: ribosomal RNA, 546 nt
Filed under: uncultured bacterium
Lineage: Bacteria
Description: bacterial SSU rRNA
Rfam family: Bacterial small subunit ribosomal RNA
Source: RNAcentral